This 322-nucleotide unclassified non-coding RNA is filed under the name uncultured fungus. Its description in RNAcentral is "partial contains 5.8S ribosomal RNA, internal transcribed spacer 2, and large subunit ribosomal RNA". The stretch from base 1 to 52 matches the Rfam family "5.8S ribosomal RNA", at positions 103 to 154 of the family's 154-position model. Lineage: Eukaryota; Fungi. The record is from RNAcentral.
AACGCAUCUUGCGCUCCUUGGUAUUCCGAGGAGCAUGCCUGUUUGAGUGUCAUGAAUCCAUCAAACAACAAUUGUUUUUUUAUUUUUAUUUUUAAACAAUUGACUGUUUGGACGUUGGAUGCUUGCUGGAUAGUUAUAUGUUACCCGGCUCAUCUGAAAUAUAUUAGCUGAUCUUAAUAUCAUGGAUUUAUCCACUUGGCGUGAUAAGUAUCACCCGCUGAGGACUUGUCCAGAGAUAAUGGAUUGCUUCUAAUCCUAGAUACUAUUGUAUCGUAUUGAAUCAUCUGACCUCAAAUCAGGUAGGACUACCCGCUGAACUUAA